AGUCACAGAGCUUACUAUUAUGAAAUACGAACACAACAACACAAUUCUAGAACUUAAAAUAUAACAUCCAAAGUUACUGAUUAGUAAUCACACUAUAUUCAAAACUAAUACUUGGCCCCUACUUGAUUAGAGUAUUCAACUACAAACGUUAGAACUUUUAACCUUAACAAAAAGAAUCGGUCCCUAACUAAAGUAUACUGUCCCCUUACCUUUGAAAGAUGGCCAAUGAAAACGUUAAAUUGCAGAAAACAACAACUUUAACUUGCUGGAGGAGAGCUUUGCGCCACACGUGAUUCACCUUAACAGAAACACAAAGAAAUGGAGUAAUAAUUAACACUAUCCAAAAGGAACACAAUCCACUUACCUCGAGAAACACACAAAUUACGAACUGCGAUUACAAAUUGCUAACAACAGAAAACCAAUAAAGUGACGACUCAAGUCAAAAUAAUAGCCCAAAGAUGAGAGGGCGACAAAGAUGAAAAUACACGAGUAAUGAAAAGUAUAGAGAAGAAUGAAAAAUUUUGUAAAAAGAAUGUCGAAGAAAUUUUCUUUGACACUUACGAAUUAACGUGAAAAAAGAAAAAUGAGGAAAAGAUGGAGAAGAGGG
RNAcentral lists this long non-coding RNA (607 nucleotides) under Gossypium barbadense (sea-island cotton). RNAcentral describes it as "long non-coding RNA (GBAR_LNC013422)". Lineage: Eukaryota; Viridiplantae; Streptophyta; Magnoliopsida; Malvales; Malvaceae. The record is from RNAcentral.